UGGGGGAUAUUGCACAAUGGGUGAAAGCCUGAUGCAGCGACGCCGCGUGGGGGAUGAAGGCCUUCGGGUUGUAAACUUCUUUUGCUCUGAACAAGGCAUGCUAAUGGGUGUGUUGAGUGUAGGGGUUGAUUAGCGCCGGCUAACUACGUGCCAGCAGCCGCGGUAAUACGUAGGGCGCGAGCGUUGUCCGGAAUUAUUGGGCGUAAAGGGCUUGUAGGUGGCUGGUUGCGUCUGUCGUGAAAGCUCAUGGCUUAACUGUGGGUUUGCGGUGGGUACGGGCUGGCUUGAGUGCAGUAGGGGAGGCUGGAAUUCCUGGUGUAGCGGUGGAAUGCGCAGAUAUCAGGAGGAAUACCGGUGGCGAAGGCGGGUCUCUGGGCUGUUACUGACACUGAGGAGCGAAAGCAUGGGGAGCGAACAGG
This 419-nucleotide ribosomal RNA is filed under the name bacterium. RNAcentral's name for it is "partial 16S ribosomal RNA". It matches the Rfam family "Bacterial small subunit ribosomal RNA", at positions 355 to 776 of the family's 1533-position model. The record is from RNAcentral.